Cercophora sp. LCS_1 is the source of this 113-nucleotide non-coding RNA. NCBI's taxonomy places the organism in Eukaryota, Fungi, Ascomycota, Sordariomycetes, Sordariales, Lasiosphaeriaceae. The record is from the annotation of a GenBank genome assembly.
GCCCGGCUAGCUCAAUCGAUCGGUAGAGCGUGAGACUCUUAAUCAGGUGUGUCAGGUUCUGAAUGUCUCCUUGAGGGAUCUCAAGGUUGUGGGUUCGACCCCCACGUCGGGCU